Molecule: long non-coding RNA, 1656 nt
Filed under: Marmota monax (woodchuck)
Lineage: Eukaryota; Metazoa; Chordata; Mammalia; Rodentia; Sciuridae
Source: RNAcentral
GCAUUUUAAAAAGAUCUAGUUGAUUGCUGAUAGCAGGCCCGCCCUGGCCCCUGGGGACUCAACCCCCAGUUCUUUGUUAUGCAUGUCAAUGUGGCCAGCUCACAAGGCCAUGACGCGGGCUUGCGGUUCCCUGUUUAUCUGCCUCGCACACAUGUGUCUCGGGAACAUCUUGACCUGUUCGAGCCUCCUGAUAGGGGACGGUGACGUGAUGGUAACCCAAGGACGCAGUUAUUACUCUUCCCUCCUCACUUUUGAGUAAUUUCCCGCAGCUGUUAAAAAGAUAUAUAAAGGGAACAAAUCUGGCAAUAAAGUGCGCACACGCUCCCUCCUGGAUGAAGAACCUUGGUGUCCUGUGUAUUUUUAACCCCGCCGUCCCUCGCCGGACUCGGCUCCGUUAGCCGGAUGCGGCAGUUGAUAGUUAAUCUUUGUUAGGUCUUGACAUAAUUGUACUGUUUUGGGGCUUCCACUGUAGCUGUUGAGCAAUCAGCUAUAAAACUAAUAGCUGUUUGGAUUUCUAUCUUUUCUCUCUCGCUGCUUUUAAAUAUCCUUUCUUUGCUAUUUAAGCUUUAUGAUAACUUUACACCAUGUUUAUGUGUGAAUUUUUAAAAUGUUAUUCUUCAUGGAGUAUGCUAUGCAUUCUGUGUAAAGUCGUGUUUUUGGUUUUUUUUCGUCAAUUUUGCAAAAUUAUCUGUUAACUAUCACCAUGAUUACUACUGCUUUCUUUCUUCAACUCUUUUCUUCCCGAGAAUGUGGUGACAUUUUAAAGAUUUUGCAUUCUAUCUACUGUGUUUCUAAUGUCUUUCGUAUUUUCAAUGUCUUUCACUAUUUCAGCAAUUUUUUAAAUUUUCAGUAUUUCAGCAAUUUUCUCAAACUUACUUGCAGCUCAUUAAUGUUCUCUUCAGCCCUAUCAGCCGUAUCUAAUCUGCUGUUUAAUAAAAGGUAUACAUUUGUAACUUAAGCAAUUAUGUUUUUUUUUGUUUUUAAAAGUUUUAUUGCAGGCUGGGGUUGUGGCUCAGUGGUAGAACGAUUGCCUAGCACAUAUGAGGCACUGGGUUUGAUCCUCAGCACAACAUAAAAAUAAAAAAAUAAUGGUUAUUGUGUCCAUCUACAACUAAAACAAAUAUAAAAAAAAUUUUAUUGGGUCUUUUUUAAAUCCUGCCUGUCCACGUUGUAAAAAAAUUCAGCAUUACUGAGAUCUAAUUUGUAUACAAUAAAAUGCACCUAUUUUAUGAUUAUAAUUUAAUGAAUUUUGACAGAUAUACAUACCACUUUCUUUCCCCCCCACCAAAUUUUAAUACUCAAUGUUCUAAAAGUUUAAGGUUUUAGAAUUUAAAUUCUUUUUUCUUUAAGGAUUGCUGUACUUUGUUUUGGCCAGCAAAUAAGUUACUUGCUGAUGGGUUUGAUCCCUCUGAGUGCUAUUUUUAAGCUUUCCUGGUGUGGACCUAGAAUAAUCAAUGAGAACUAUCUGCUCUGGCUUGAACUUCUUUUUAGCCCCGUUAAGAUUUUCUUUUCUUAAUACACCUUUAUACCACAAUUUAUCAAAUCUCUGUUUGUGUAUAAGGUAUGUUGACACCAAAUUCACAUCUUCAUACUUAAAGGUGUAUUAAGAAUUGCAAUGCAAAAAAAAAAAAAAUGAAUGUAAUGCACUCCUCUAUU